This 804-nucleotide long non-coding RNA is filed under the name Lactuca sativa (garden lettuce). RNAcentral describes it as "long non-coding RNA (LSAT_LNC002623)". Lineage: Eukaryota; Viridiplantae; Streptophyta; Magnoliopsida; Asterales; Asteraceae. The record is from RNAcentral.
UUUAGUGUAUGGACGGAAAAGGUGAUUCAGUGUUCAGAGGUUACUGUUCAUGGUCAACGCUUCGAACGCUUCGCAUUCGGAUGUUUUUGAAAUAAAUCAGAGGUUACUGUUCAUGGUCAACGCUUCAAACGCUUCGCAUUCGGAAGUUUUUGAAAUAAAUAAUCAGAGGUUACUAUUCAAGUCAACGGCUCGCAUGCUUCGUAUUUGUACACAUUUCAACUAAGAUUAGAUUUGUAGUUUGUUUAAUUUUUUUUUUUUUUUGAAAAACCUGAAAAAUCAAAAAUAUUUUCUUUUAUUGAAAAAUUAAAAAUCCAAAAAGAUUUUGUUUCAGUUUGUCCUUAAUUUUUUGAAAAAUUACAAAAAUACCAAAUAUAUUUUUCAUUUUUUUAGUUUUAACAUGUGUAUUGUGAGUUUUGUCAAGUUUCAAAUACGAAGGAUUCAUGCGUCUGGUUUUGAAGGAAAGGUAUGAUCUCGAUACAUUUUGGAUUAGUUAGGAUGUCCCUAGAAGCAUGUUGCUGCAUGUUGUCUCAAGCCUCGUAUGAUUCUAUGUAUGGGAAAUGAAAGCCUUGAUGAAAUUAUCUCAUGAAAAUUUCUUCCCAACAAGGCUUGUAUUUGCAUAAAUCAAAAAGAGCUACCUUACUCUUCUCAAAUGAGUUAAGAGUUUUCUGUUUUGUACAUUAUAACAGAGGUACCCUUCGAUUCUUAACCAAUCUUUUUAAACCAAACAAUUCUUACAUUCCAAAUAUUCGAAGAUUUGUCCUUGAGGUAUUUGAUCAAACCAAUCAAAACCUAGACAAAUCACAA